RNAcentral lists this ribosomal RNA (261 nucleotides) under uncultured Actinomycetales bacterium. Its description in RNAcentral is "partial 16S ribosomal RNA". It matches the Rfam family "Bacterial small subunit ribosomal RNA", at positions 524 to 782 of the family's 1533-position model. The record is from RNAcentral. Lineage: Bacteria; Bacillati; Actinomycetota; Actinomycetes; Actinomycetales.
UACGUAGGGUGCGAGCGUUGUCCGGAACUACUGGGCGUAAAGGGCUCGUAGGUGGUUUGUCGCGUCGUCUGUGAAAUUCCGGGGCUUAACUCCGGGCGUGCAGGCGAUACGGGCAUAACUUGAGUACUGUAGGGGUAACUGGAAUUCCUGGUGUAGCGGUGAAAUGCGCACGAUAUCAGGAGGAACACCGAUGGCGAAGGCAGGUUACUGGGCAGUUACUGACGCUGAGGAGCGAAAGCAUGGGUAGCAAACAGGAUUAGA